Non-coding RNA from Paramuricea clavata, 437 nucleotides. The record is from the annotation of a GenBank genome assembly. Lineage: Eukaryota; Metazoa; Cnidaria; Anthozoa; Malacalcyonacea; Plexauridae.
AUCGUAAUCAAGUAAUGAGGGUUAUAACACACAACACCACACUCCUAAUUCCAGGUCCAAUUUCCCAUUUACAGUUAUUUGGAUUUGUAUUGUAACAAACUUAACUAGAAAUUAACGUUUACCGAUUUUAAACUAUAUUCGUGGCACUAGGACUUUGGAUAUUCACUUCCCGAAUUUGUUCGAGUGCAUACGAAACAAUAGCUUGAAUUGAGGCAGGUAUGCAAUUUAAUUUACGAUUCUAUUAACCACGAUCAGGCGGCAAUUUAAAGAAAUAAUGGAAACUGUUUGAUGAUCAUGACUUUGAAAUAAAACUGAAAAUUAGUCUCAAAAACUUGCUUUGCUUACACACGUAAAAAUCUUGCAGCUUGUCAACAAGGUAUGCACUGCUCAGGUUCUCAGAUUUUGACAAGUCUGGAACAAGUUAUAUUAUCAUCUUG